GGUACUCGAGUGGCGAACGGGUGAGUAACACGUGGGUGAUCUGCCUUGCACUUCGGGAUAAGCUUGGGAAACUGGGUCUAAUACCGGAUAGGACAGCUGUUUAGUGUCAGUUGUGGAAAGUUUUUUCGGUGCAAGAUGAGCUCGCGGCCUAUCAGCUUGUUGGUGGGGUAAUGGCCUACCAAGGCGUCGACGGGUAGCCGGCCUGAGAGGGUGUACGGCCACAUUGGGACUGAGAUACGGCCCAGACUCCUACGGGAGGCAGCAGUGGGGAAUAUUGCACAAUGGGCGGAAGCCUGAUGCAGCGACGCCGCGUGGGGGAUGAAGGCCUUCGGGUUGUAAACUCCUUUCGACAGGGACGAAGCGUAAGUGACGGUACCUGUAUAAGAAGCACCGGCUAACUACGUGCCAGCAGCCGCGGUAAUACGUAGGGUGCGAGCGUUGUCCGGAAUUACUGGGCGUAAAGAGCUCGUAGGUGGUUUGUCGCGUCGUCUGUGAAAUUCCGGGGCUUAACUCCGGGCGUGCAGGCGAUACGGGCUGACUUGAGUGCUGUAGGGGAGACUGGAAUUCCUGGUGUAGCGGUGAAAUGCGCAGAUAUCAGGAGGAACACCGAUGGCGAAGGCAGGUCUCUGGGCAGUAACUGACGCUGAGGAGCGAAAGCAUGGGUAGCGAACAGGAUUAGAUACCCUGGUAGUCCAUGCCGUAAACGGUGGGCGCUAGGUGUAGGGGGCUUCCACGUCUUCUGUGCCGUAGCUAACGCAUUAAGCGCCCCGCCUGGGGAGUACGGCCGCAAGGCUAAAACUCAAAGGAAUUGACGGGGGCCCGCACAAGCGGCGGAGCAUGUGGAUUAAUUCGAUGCAACGCGAAGAACCUUACCUG
Molecule: ribosomal RNA, 876 nt
Filed under: Corynebacterium striatum
Lineage: Bacteria; Bacillati; Actinomycetota; Actinomycetes; Mycobacteriales; Corynebacteriaceae
Description: bacterial SSU rRNA
Rfam family: Bacterial small subunit ribosomal RNA
Source: RNAcentral